This is a long non-coding RNA of Halichondria panicea, 503 nucleotides long. RefSeq lists it as uncharacterized. The transcript has 2 exons. The record is from RefSeq and is a predicted model, not a curated record. Lineage: Eukaryota; Metazoa; Porifera; Demospongiae; Suberitida; Halichondriidae.
CUCAGUGUGACCUCCCUCACAGGCAGCCAGGAGUGGGGAUUUCCUGAACUGUAAAAACAUUUGUCUCAGUGUGACCUCCCUCACAGGCAGCCAAGAGUGGGAAUUUCUCGAACUGUAAAAACAUUUGGUACGUAUCUUACAUUACUGUUAGGAACUAUAGAAAGUCAGUGAUCAGUGACUUUUUUAUACUAGCUAGCUAGGUGACACCUACCACAUCAAGCUGGUUUACGUCUGCUCCCCUGUCAAUGAACAACUUUGCAGUCUCAGUGUGACCUCCCUCACAGGCAGCCAGGAGUGGGGAUUUCCCGAACUGUAAAAAACAUUUGGUACGUAUCUUACAUUACUGUUAGGAACUAUAGAAAGUCAGUGACUUGUUUUAUGAGCUAGCUAGGUGACACUUACCUUAUCAAGUUGGUUUACAUCUGCUCCCCUGUCAAUCAACAACUUUGCAGUCUCAGUGUGACCUCCCUCACAGGCAGCCAGGAGUGGGGAUUUCCCUAACU